UUAAGUUGCAGGGUAUAGACCCGAAACCCGGUGAUCUAGCCAUGGGCAGGUUGAAGGUUGGGUAACACUAACUGGAGGACCGAACCGACUAAUGUUGAAAAAUUAGCGGAUGACUUGUGGCUGGGGGUGAAAGGCCAAUCAAACCGGGAGAUAGCUGGUUCUCCCCGAAAGCUAUUUAGGUAGCGCCUCGUGAAUUCAUCUCCGGGGGUAGAGCACUGUUUCGGCAAGGGGGUCAUCCCGACUUACCAACCCGAUGCAAACUGCGAAUACCGGAGAAUGUUAUCACGGGAGACACACGGCGGGUGCUAACGUCCGUCGUGAAGAGGGAAACAACCCAGACCGCCAGCUAAGGUCCCAAAGUCAUGGUUAAGUGGGAAACGAUGUGGGAAGGCCCAGACAGCCAGGAUGUUGGCUUAGAAGCAGCCAUCAUUUAAAGAAAGCGUAAUAGCUCACUGGUCGAGUCGGCCUGCGCGGAAGAUGUAACGGGGCUAAACCAUGCACCGAAGCUGCGGCAGCGACGCUUAUGCGUUGUUGGGUAGGGGAGCGUUCUGUAAGCCUGUGAAGGUGUGCUGUGAGGCAUGCUGGAGGUAUCAGAAGUGCGAAUGCUGACAUAAGUAACGAUAAAGCGGGUGAAAAGCCCGCUCGCCGGAAGACCAAGGGUUCCUGUCCAACGUUAAUCGGGGCAGGGUGAGUCGACCCCUAAGGCGAGGCCGAAAGGCGUAGUCGAUGGGAAACAGGUUAAUAUUCCUGUACUUGGUGUUACUGCGAAGGGGGGACGGAGAAGGCUAUGUUGGCCGGGCGACGGUUGUCCCGGUUUAAGCGUGUAGGCUGGUUUUCCAGGCAAAUCCGGAAAAUCAAGGCUGAGGCGUGAUGACGAGGCACUACGGUGCUGAAGCGACAAAUGCCCUGCUUCCAGGAAAAGCCUCUAAGCAUCAGGUAACAUCAAAUCGUACCCCAAACCGACACAGGUGGUCAGGUAGAGAAUACCAAGGCGCUUGAGAGAACUCGGGUGAAGGAACUAGGCAAAAUGGUGCCGUAACUUCGGGAGAAGGCACGCUGAUAUGUAGGUGAAGUCCCUCGCGGAUGGAGCUGAAAUCAGUCGAAGAUACCAGCUGGCUGCAACUGUUUAUUAAAAACACAGCACUGUGCAAACACGAAAGUGGACGUAUACGGUGUGACGCCUGCCCGGUGCCGGAAGGUUAAUUGAUGGGGUCAGCGCAAGCGAAGCUCUUGAUCGAAGCCCCGGUAAACGGCGGCCGUAACUAUAACGGUCCUAAGGUAGCGAAAUUCCUUGUCGGGUAAGUUCCGACCUGCACGAAUGGCGUAAUGAUGGCCAGGCUGUCUCCACCCGAGACUCAGUGAAAUUGAACUCGCUGUGAAGAUGCAGUGUACCCGCGGCAAGACGGAAAGACCCCGUGAACCUUUACUAUAGCUUGACACUGAACAUUGAGCCUUGAUGUGUAGGAUAGGUGGGAGGCUUAGAAGUGUGGACGCCAGUCUGCAUGGAGCCGACCUUGAAAUACCACCCUUUAAUGUUUGAUGUUCUAACGUUGACCCGUAAUCCGGGUUGCGGACAGUGUCUGGUGGGUAGUUUGACUGGGGCGGUCUCCUCCUAAAGAGUAACGGAGGAGCACGAAGGUUGGCUAAUCCUGGUCGGACAUCAGGAGGUUAGUGCAAUGGCAUAAGCCAGCUUGACUGCGAGCGUGACGGCGCGAGCAGGUGCGAAAGCAGGUCAUAGUGAUCCGGUGGUUCUGAAUGGAAGGGCCAUCGCUCAACGGAUAAAAGGUACUCCGGGGAUAACAGGCUGAUACCGCCCAAGAGUUCAUAUCGACGGCGGUGUUUGGCACCUCGAUGUCGGCUCAUCACAUCCUGGGGCUGAAGUAGGUCCCAAGGGUAUGGCUGUUCGCCAUUUAAAGUGGUACGCGAGCUGGGUUUAGAACGUCGUGAGACAGUUCGGUCCCUAUCUGCCGUGGGCGCUGGAGAACUGAGGGGGGCUGCUCCUAGUACGAGAGGACCGGAGUGGACGCAUCACUGGUGUUCGGGUUGUCAUGCCAAUGGCACUGCCCGGUAGCUAAAUGCGGAAGAGAUAAGUGCUGAAAGCAUCUAAGCACGAAACUUGCC
This 2121-nucleotide ribosomal RNA is filed under the name Escherichia coli. RNAcentral describes it as "partial 23S ribosomal RNA". It matches the Rfam family "Bacterial large subunit ribosomal RNA", at positions 695 to 2798 of the family's 2925-position model. The record is from RNAcentral. Lineage: Bacteria; Pseudomonadati; Pseudomonadota; Gammaproteobacteria; Enterobacterales; Enterobacteriaceae.